GGAGGCGGGAACUCGGGCUCCGGUUCCCGGAUGGAGGUCAAAGGUGGUGCUCUUGGAGCUGACGCCUGCGGGCAGAAGGCGGGCAGGGGCUGUCGGGAGCAUGCGCACGGAGCAGAGCCCAGCAGCCCCGCGAAUCGUAGCUCUGGAGAGCUCUCUUGCUGCGUGUCCUUCCUCCCAUGGCGGGUAAUGCUGCUUCGGUUGUUUGUUGCCUGCGGUCCCUCUGCUUGGCCUGUUUGCUCCCGACGUGCACGUGGCUCACUCCUCCCUGCCUUCGAGCUGUUGCUCGCAGCACAGGUUCUCAAGGAGGCUUUAUCUGACCUUGCUAUUUCAUUGCACAGCCCGUAUGCCCACCCUUGCCAUCCACGCCCCGCUCCUGGUUUAUUUUUCUUUUGUUCAAACCACUCUUCACUUUCUAAGUUGUAGGUCCUUCUGGUUGUGCUAUGUGGGACACCGCCUCAGCAUGGCCUGAUGAGCAGUGCCAUGUCCAUGUCCUGGACCCGAGCUGGCAAAACCCUGGGUCAUCAAAGCAGAAACAUCAGAGAUCAGAAAUUAAGAAGAUAAAGUGUUAAAAUGAGAAAUCAAAAAUCAAGCAAACAAAAACCAUCUGCAAAGUGAAGACUCAUCCUUGAAAUCUGUAGAACUGUGAUGGCCAAUGAUAAUCAGACCCUCUCCUAUUUGAUUUUCAAGCACUUCACUUCUUAAAUUACAUUGUCAUAAGUUCUGCCUUGGAAUACCUUUUUUAAUCAUGAUUGAUUUUUACUUUGAGUUUUUUAAAGUAAAUUUUCUUGCUUUUGUUUUUGUUUUUUACAAACAAUGUGUCAGAAUCUGCUAGAAUUACCUGGAUCAUAUAAUCUUAGCCAAUUGAGCUUAGUUUUGUUUAUUUUUGUUUUGUUACAGUGCACUAUAAAUUUUAUUUGGCAACGAUUUUAAUGUUAUGUUUUGGGAAAAUAAUUGAAACAAAUAAUAUUUUCUACUUUCCUCCUCCAUUUAUUUUAUACUUUUUAUUUCAAAUACCUCU
RNAcentral lists this long non-coding RNA (1018 nucleotides) under Equus asinus (donkey). RNAcentral's name for it is "lncRNA (ENSEASG00005034153.1)". Lineage: Eukaryota; Metazoa; Chordata; Mammalia; Perissodactyla; Equidae. The record is from RNAcentral.